GUACGUACAAGCAGUGGGAGCCCCACCACUAAGCCAGUGGUGAACUCCACAUACGCAUCCUUUGCUGAGGAUACGGUUAACGGAGCGAAAGCGACGUUCAACCUCAAAAGAAGCAGAGGGGGCUUAGUGGUGGGGUGACUGCGUACCUUUUGUAUAAUGGGUCAGCGACUUAUAUUCUGUAGCAAGGUUAACCGAAUAGGGGAGCCGGAGGGAAACCGAGUCUUAACCGGGCGUUAAGUUGCAGGGUAUAGACCCGAAACCCGGUGAUCUAGCCAUGGGCAGGUUGAAGGUUGGGUAACACUAACUGGAGGACCGAACCGACUAAUGUUGAAAAAUUAGCGGAUGACCUGUGGCUGGGGGUGAAAGGCCAAUCAAACCGGGAGAUAGCUGGUUCUCCCCGAAAGCUAUUUAGGUAGCGCCUCGUGAAUUCAUCUCCGGGGGUAGAGCACUGUUUCGGCUAGGGGGUCAUCCCGACUUACCAACCCGAUGCAAACUGCGAAUACCGGAGAAUGUUAUCACGGGAGACACACGGCGGGUGCUAACGUCCGUCGUGAAGAGGGAAACAACCCAGACCGCCAGCUAAGGUCCCAAAGUCAUGGUUAAGUGGGAAACGAUGUGGGAAGGCCCAGACAGCCAGGAUGUUGGCUUAGAAGCAGCCAUCAUUUAAAGAAAGCGUAAUAGCUCACUGGUCGAGUCGGCCUGCGCGGAAGAUGUAACGGGGCUAAACCAUGCACCGAAGCUGCGGCAGCGACACUAUGUGUUGUUGGGUAGGGGAGCGUUCUGUAAGCCUGCGAAGGUGUCUCGUGAGGGAUGCUGGAGGUAUCAGAAGUGCGAAUGCUGACAUAAGUAACGAUAAUGCGGGUGAAAAACCCGCACGCCGGAAGACCAAGGGUUCCUGUCCAACGUUAAUCGGGGCAGGGUGAGUCGACCCCUAAGGCGAGGCCGAAAGGCGUAGUCGAUGGGAAACAGGUUAAUAUUCCUGUACUUGGUGUUACUGCGAAGGGGGGACGGAGAAGGCUAUGUUGGCCGGGCGACGGUUGUCCCGGUUUAAGCGUGUAGGUGUGUGUUCCAGGUAAAUCCGGUUCACUUUAACACUGAGGCGUGAUGACGAGGCACUACGGUGCUGAAGCAACAAAUGCCCUGCUUCCAGGAAAAGCCUCUAAGCAUCAGGUAACAUCAAAUCGUACCCCAAACCGACACAGGUGGUCAGGUAGAGAAUACCAAGGCGCUUGAGAGAACUCGGGUGAAGGAACUAGGCAAAAUGGUGCCGUAACUUCGGGAGAAGGCACGCUGAUAUGUAGGUGAAGUGGUUUACCCAUGGAGCUGAAAUCAGUCGAAGAUACCAGCUGGCUGCAACUGUUUAUUAAAAACACAGCACUGUGCAAACACGAAAGUGGACGUAUACGGUGUGACGCCUGCCCGGUGCCGGAAGGUUAAUUGAUGGGGUUAUCCGUAAGGAGAAGCUCUUGAUCGAAGCCCCGGUAAACGGCGGCCGUAACUAUAACGGUCCUAAGGUAGCGAAAUUCCUUGUCGGGUAAGUUCCGACCUGCACGAAUGGCGUAAUGAUGGCCAGGCUGUCUCCACCCGAGACUCAGUGAAAUUGAACUCGCUGUGAAGAUGCAGUGUACCCGCGGCAAGACGGAAAGACCCCGUGAACCUUUACUAUAGCUUGACACUGAACACUGGUCCUUGAUGUGCAGGAUAGGUGGGAGGCUUUGAAGCGCGGACGCCAGUUCGUGUGGAGCCAUCCUUGAAAUACCACCCUUUAAUGGCUGGUGUUCUAACGUAGACCCGUGAUCCGGGUUGCGGACAGUGUCUGGUGGGUAGUUUGACUGGGGCGGUCUCCUCCUAAAGAGUAACGGAGGAGCACGAAGGUUAGCUAAUCCUGGUCGGACAUCAGGAGGUUAGUGCAAAGGCAUAAGCUAGCUUGACUGCGAGCGUGACGGCGCGAGCAGGUGCGAAAGCAGGUC
RNAcentral lists this ribosomal RNA (1970 nucleotides) under Salmonella enterica. RNAcentral's name for it is "partial 23S ribosomal RNA". It matches the Rfam family "Bacterial large subunit ribosomal RNA", at positions 560 to 2411 of the family's 2925-position model. Lineage: Bacteria; Pseudomonadati; Pseudomonadota; Gammaproteobacteria; Enterobacterales; Enterobacteriaceae. The record is from RNAcentral.